CCAAAGAUUUAUCGCUGUGAGAUGGCCUCGCGUCUGAUUAGCUAGUUGGUGAGGUAACGGCCCACCAAGGCGACGAUCAGUAGCCGGACUGAGAGGUUGAUCGGCCACAUUGGGACUGAGACACGGCCCAGACUCCUACGGGAGGCAGCAGUGGGGAAUAUUGGGCAAUGGGCGCAAGCCUGACCCAGCAACGCCGCGUGAAGGAAGAAGGCUUUCGGGUUGUAAACUUCUUUUAUUAGGGACGAUAAUGACGGUACCUAUUGAAUAAGCUCCGGCUAACUACGUGCCAGCAGUCGCGGUAAUACGUAGGGAGCAAGCGUUAUCCGGAUUUACUGGGUGUAAAGGGCGUGUAGGCGGGACUGCAAGUCAGAUGUGAAAACUAUGGGCUCAACUCAUAGCCUGCAUUUGAAACUGUAGUUCUUGAGUGCUGGAGAGGCAAAUGGAACUCCUAGUGUAGCGGUGAAAUGCGUAGAUAUUAGGAAGAACACCAGUGGCGAAGGCGAUUUGCUGGACAGUAACUGACGCUGAGGCGCGAAAGUGUGGGGAGCAAACAGGAUUAGAUACCCUGGUAGUCCACGCCGUAAACGAUGAUUACUAGGUGUGGGGGGACUGACCCCUUCCGUGCC
This 626-nucleotide ribosomal RNA is filed under the name uncultured bacterium. RNAcentral describes it as "bacterial SSU rRNA". It matches the Rfam family "Bacterial small subunit ribosomal RNA", at positions 201 to 847 of the family's 1533-position model. The record is from RNAcentral.